GACGAACGCUGGCGGCGUGCCUAAUACAUGCAAGUAGAACGCUGAAGGAGGAGCUUGCUUCUCUGGAUGAGUUGCGAACGGGUGAGUAACACGUAUGUAACCUGCCUGUUAGCGGGGGAUAACUAUUGGAAACGAUAGCUAAUACCGCAUAAGAGUAGAUGUUGCAUGACAUUUACUUAAAAGGUGCAGUUGCAUCACUACCAGUUGGACCUGCGUUGUAUUAGCUAGUUGGUGAAGUAACGGCUCACCAAGGCAACGAUACAUAGCCGACCUGAGAGGGGGAUCGGCCAAACUGGGACUGAGACAAGGCCCAGACUCCUAAGGGAGGCAGCAGUAGGGGAUCUUCGGCAAUGGACGGAAGUCUGAACGAGGAAAGCCGUGUGAGUGGAGAAGGUUGUCGGAUCGUAAAGAUCCGUUGUAAGAGAAGAAAGAGUGUGAGAGUGGAAAGUUCACACUGUGACGGUACCUUAUCAGAAAGGGACGGCUAACUACGUG
RNAcentral lists this ribosomal RNA (495 nucleotides) under uncultured bacterium. Its description in RNAcentral is "partial 16S ribosomal RNA". It matches the Rfam family "Bacterial small subunit ribosomal RNA", at positions 28 to 507 of the family's 1533-position model. The record is from RNAcentral.